This 468-nucleotide ribosomal RNA is filed under the name uncultured bacterium. Its description in RNAcentral is "partial 16S ribosomal RNA". It matches the Rfam family "Bacterial small subunit ribosomal RNA", at positions 28 to 507 of the family's 1533-position model. The record is from RNAcentral.
GACGAACGCUGGCGGCGUGCUUAACACAUGCAGGUCGAACGGAAAGGCCCUUCUUUUGUGGGGUGCUCGAGUGGCGAACGGGUGAGUAACACGUGAGUAACCUGCCCUUGACUUUGGGAUAACUUCAGGAAACUGAGGCUAAUACCGGAUAGGAGCUCCUGCUGCAUGGUGGGGGUUGGAAAGUUUCGGCGGUUGGGGUUGGACUCGCGGCUUAUCAGCUUGUUGGUGGGGUAGUGGCUUACCAAGGCUUUGACGGGUAGCCGGCCUGAGAGGGUGACCGGCCACAUUGGGACUGAGAGACGGAGCAGACUCCUACGGGAGGCAGAAGUGGGGAACAUUGCACAAUGGGGGGAAGCCUGAUGCAGCAACGCCGCGUGCGGGAUGACGGCCUUCGGGUUGUAAACCGCUUUCGCCUGUGACGAAGCGUGAGUGACGGUAAUGGGUAAAGAAGCACCGGCUAACUACGUG